Molecule: ribosomal RNA, 639 nt
Filed under: Coleps hirtus hirtus
Lineage: Eukaryota; Ciliophora; Prostomatea; Prorodontida; Colepidae
Description: LSU rRNA
Rfam family: Eukaryotic large subunit ribosomal RNA
Source: RNAcentral
UAAGCGGAGGGAAAGAAACUAACAAGGAUUGCCUUAGUAGCGGCGAGUGAACCGGCAAAAGCUCAAAAUGAAAAUCUGAAGCACAAAGUUUCAGAAUUGUAAUCUAGAGUGUUUCACGAAAGGUGAGGUCUUCGCACAAGUGCCUGAAAGGGUACGUCAAAGAGGGUGAAAACCCCGUAGAGGGCGAUGGACCUGCUGGCCGUGGGAUUUCGAAGAGUCGGGUUGUUUGGGACUGCAGCCCUAAAUGGGAGAUAAACUUCUUCUAAAGCUAAAUAUUUAUGGGAAACCGAUAGCGAACAAGUACUGCGAAGGAAAGAUGAAAAGAACUUUGAAAAGAGGGUUAAAAGACUUGAAAGCGUUGAAAAGGAAGCGGUAGAAGAGAAUUAUUUGGGCGAGACGUUUGACGUGAGAGCACCGGCCAGCGUAGGGUGGAGUUCGUAAAAGGCUUGCCUGGCGUUUGGUAACGGGGAUCUGCGGCUUUUUCUCGUUCAAAAGACAAAAUGAGGUCCCGACUGCCGGAGACACUGCGUGGUGAAAGCCUAGCAAGAAUACGGCGGCGUGGGCCUGAGGGUCCGAAAGGAGAUUUUGUCAAAAUGGCUUCUACCGACCCGUCUUGAAACACGGACCAAGGAGUCUAAC